GCGUACUUUAUUCCACACACUUUUAUUAAACAUAUUUCAAUGACUAGGAAUAGGAAAAUUAAUUAUUUCUUUUGGGUGAUUCUGUUGGUAUAACAGUUCAAAUGCUUGUUUCUUGCCAACUUCAUUCCUUCCUCAAUGUUUACAUUUCUUGGUGAGCUCCAGAAAAUACAGCAAGAAAAACCACGAAUUUCCCGGAUAAUAAAGUAAAUCAUGAAAUUUCGCUUCUGCGGCGAUGGUGAUUGUCCUGACUGGAUCCUGGCGGAGAUCCACUCGACGCUGUCCGUGCUGAGCUCAGUGAAGCUCCGCGUGUUGGCGCAGAUGGUGGCUAAAAGCACCCUCGGCGAAGAGAUUCCGGAGGAGAAGCUCCUGGACACGAUGAGUGCCAAUAAGCUGGACCUGAAGGCGGCCAGAUCAGCAUUUGCGUGUCUCAGGUACAUCCUGACCAGUGCUGUGCGCCACAACACUCCGCCAGCGGUGUUCGAGGCGGAACUGCAGCAACUGGGCCUCCCGAAGGAGCACUCAGCCGGCAUUUGCAGAACUCUGGGCGAGUUCUCUGACAGACUGCAGGACUUCCUCAGCGGUCAGACGCUCAGUGUCAAUGAACUGGAGGAUGUUAGCUGUGCACCCUCAGAGACACAUCCAGAUUGUGUGAACCUGAGUCUGGGCGUCAGAAAUGAAAUAGUAAAUGGAUUGCCGCAGAAGACGGAGCACUGCGUGACCAUUCACGGUGGCCAGCUGCCGAUAUUGAUAAAGGAGCUGAAGACUGCGCGGGAUGUUGUGGAGAGGCUGUCCUAAGGGAUGUGGCAAGGACGGAGUGUGAUUAUGUGCAGAAUCCUGACAAUGCAGAGAAACGACUCGUGUUUCGACCCUGGCGAGGGCCAGAGUAUAAAAUCCAAUAA
This is an RNA transcript of Phlebotomus argentipes, 899 nucleotides long. It is a transcript of the gene named COMM domain-containing protein 4, with no coding region annotated. NCBI's taxonomy places the organism in Eukaryota, Metazoa, Arthropoda, Insecta, Diptera, Psychodidae. The transcript is spliced from 5 exons. The record is from RefSeq and is a predicted model, not a curated record.